Long non-coding RNA from Ictalurus punctatus (channel catfish), 1340 nucleotides. The record is from Ensembl. NCBI's taxonomy places the organism in Eukaryota, Metazoa, Chordata, Actinopteri, Siluriformes, Ictaluridae.
CAGGAAGCUAGGGUCAGAGCGCAGGGUCAGCCAUGAUACAGCGCCCCUGGAGCAGAGAAGGUUUAGGGCCUUGCUCAAGGGCCCAACAGUGGCAGUGGCAAGUAUAUCAUAUUUAGUAUAUCAUGCUAAAUAGUUUCAGAAAUUAAAACAAAAUCUAUUACAAUGAAACGAUAAAACAAAGGCAACCUGAGUAAACACAAAAUACAGUUUUUAAAUGAUUGUUAUUUAUUGAAGCAAAAAAAAGUUAUCCAAUCCCAACUGGGCCUGUGUGAAAAUGUAUUUGUCCCCGUAGUUACUAAUCCCCAAAAUCUAUGAAACUGCUUUUAUAAUACAUAGAACACAGAACAUAGAACAGGUUCUAUGUUUUAUGUUGUUUAAUGCAUCUAGAUGAAAAUACCAGGGAAUAACAGUUGAAAACAUAAAACUCUUGAAUGUUAGGUUACGGUGGUCAAUAAAACUGGACAGUUGAAUGUUGAAAAAAGAACAGGCAGCGUUUGUCUAAUCUUCAACUGUCCAGUGCAUGGCAAUGAAUCUAACUUGCAAAAAGCUGAUGUGUGUGAUGCAGCAGGCGAUGGGAUUCAGAGCUAGUAAGACAAGCUACAUUUUCAGUAUUGAGGUGUGUUGCAUAACCGCAUAGAUAUACACACCAAAUAAAACAUUUUAUUUUGCAAAAGUCAGUACUGAGUAGGUUUUUUUUUUUUUUUCUUUCCCUGGUUGUUGGAUGAGAGAAUGAUAAAUGCAAAAUGCUAGUGACUGAGUGAAUAAUAAAAAAAGAAAGAGAGAUGUCUUGGAUACAUAAUAGUCUUGUCCGGGGUGCUGACGAUCUGAAAAUCCAUUACUACUGAAGUGACAGAUUUUUGAUAUACCUGGAAAAAGGACACAUUUUUUUGACAUACAAAAUAGUCAUUAAGCUUUUACUUUUAGCAUACGGAACAAUCAGAGUAGUUUAGAAUGUCCUGGGAAAAAAAAAGACGGUGUAAGAGCUAUGGCUUGCUCUUACAAUGUUAGAAGUCUAGUAAGAAAUCUCACAAAUAGGCUAUGGCUCUAGAGGUUUAAAAAAAAUCUUUCUUUUAAUGGGAGCAGUUUUUCAGCACUACGGGUUAUUUGUCAGGGGAUGUUCUCGAUUGAUCAGGUUGAUUAGCCGUGGCAGGUUACUGGCCUUCUGUGUUUAAGUGAAUUAUUUAUUUAUAAAUACAAAGAGCGACUGACCAGACCUAACCUGCUCACUUGUGAAAAAUGAAUUAUAUCCAUGCAUAAGUCACACAUAACAGAGUAAUUAGAAUCAAAGUGCUGCCAUUCCCUUUCUUUCCACCCAUAACUCCUUUAGGGUAGUAGACAAG